GAUGAACGCUGGCGGCGUGCCUAAUACAUGCAAGUCGAGCGAACAGACGAGGAGCUUGCUCCUCUGACGUUAGCGGCGGACGGGUGAGUAACACGUGGAUAACCUACCUAUAAGACUGGGAUAACUUCGGGAAACCGGAGCUAAUACCGGAUAAUAUAUUGAACCGCAUGGUUCAAUAGUGAAAGACGGUUUUGCUGUCACUUAUAGAUGUAUCCGCGCCGCAUUAGCUAGUUGGUAAGGUAACGGCUUACCAAGGCAACGAUGCGUAGCCGACCUGAGAGGGUGAUCGGCCACACUGGAAAUGAGACACGGUCCAGACUCCUACGGGAGGCAGCAGUAGGGAAUCGUCCGCAAUGGGCGAAAGCCUGACGGAGCAACGCCACGUGAGUGAUGAAGGUCUUCGGAUCGUAAAACUCUGUUAUUAGGGAAGAACAAAUGUGUAAGUAACUAUGCACGUCGUGACGGUACCUAAUCAGAAAGCCACGGCUAACUACGUG
This 497-nucleotide ribosomal RNA is filed under the name uncultured bacterium. Its description in RNAcentral is "partial 16S ribosomal RNA". It matches the Rfam family "Bacterial small subunit ribosomal RNA", at positions 28 to 507 of the family's 1533-position model. The record is from RNAcentral.